UCAGGAUCAUUCACUGCUUGCAGGUUCUUUUCAUAAAAAGAAGCUGGCAAAAAGGCCAGGAUACAUGAGACCAAAAGCUCCACAACGGAUAGAGUUUCAGCCUUCUGCUGACUACAAGUCAUUCAACCCAAAGGGACUUGAACAUGGCGGAAAGCAUUGUGAAGACUUUAAGAACUGCUCUCUGCACAAAUUAUGGAAAAAUGAAUUCUUACACUGUAAUUCAUCUGUAAACAGUGCUAUAGUUACCAAUGAUGUGGUAACAACGUUGACUACUGCUGGAAAUACAACAGGAGACCUCAGAAAUCUGUCAGAUCACAGGUUUCAGCAGCCAGAAAAUGUAAUUCUUCCAGUUUGUCCUGCAGCUGUCACAUGUAAAAGAGACUUCUCACCUGCGUUCAGUUCACAUACAUGGCAGACACAUCUACUAGCAACUACAGGGGAGACAACCCACUGUGCUAGAAUAAAGGAGCCAAAGAAAAUGUACACUUUGGAUCAUAAGGAAGUGAACAAUAACUGUGAAUAUAAAAACAAAGAAAUCACAUCUUACUCUUCCAGUUCUUGGGAUAGCUUUAAUUCAAGUUUCAGCUUCAUACAACUCUCACUGAAUUCAAGUUUUGAAAAAAGUGACUCGGAAGACCAGUCAGAUGGCAGGGCAGUGGAAAAUACUCUGCAAACCAGUGCAACAGGACAAACAGAAAAUGUUAAUUUAGAUGAACCAAGGGAGAGACUAAGAAGUUCACAUAAAGACUUAGGGGCUUCAUCUUGCAUUUGUAGGGAUGGUGAGGAUUAUCAGUGUACACGAGAGAACGAAGUGAAUGAUAAAUGGCAGGAUUGUGAGAUUGCAUCUCUUUCAGACACAGAUGUAGCAUUUUCAUGUUACACGGAUUCCUCAGAUGCAGCAUCUGCUGGUUCAUCUGUUACCUCAGGCUAUGAAAGUAGCUUUACUUUUAGUGAUUACAACUGGGACACCCUGAUGAGGAAAUAUGAACCGGUGCUAUUGGACUGCUUGGUUGGCAACCGUAGUAUAUUAAAGAUAAAAUCCUUCAUGUUAAGGCUUCAGAGGCUUCAAGAAAAAGCAGUACAGGAAGAUGACUACGAUAAGGCUGAUAAACUGAGAAGGAAACUAGAAGAGCUGGAGCAAGAGAAGAAUAAUUUAAAAUUUCAGCUUCCUUCAAGGCAUCCGUCAAUUACAAGCUUUUUGGACAGAUUCAGUGCACAAGUUCAAGCAGCAUUGUACUGGGCUGCAGAUCAGGCUGGAAGUAAAGAAGCACAGCUCUGGCAAAAAAAUGAACAGAAGCUUUUGACUCCUGCUUACCAAAAGAGGAUACAGAUUUCAACCACAAAAAGAGACCAGCUGCUUCAAGAAAAACAAUUGUUGCAGAAAGAAAUUGAAGACCUCAGGGCAAGGCUGGCUGUGCUAGAAGAAAAAGAUCAACAAUUAAAAAGAGAUAUUGAGGCGCAAGAUAGGCUUAUUCUGUUGCAGGACUGUGAAUUGAGUGCCUUGCUUAGCUGUGUAUCUUUAAGAGAGUUACAGGAAAUAAGCAAGGCCUUGGAUGACACAUUAGCAGCAUCGUAUCAAAUACCAUUUAGUUUGGAUCUCCCUGGAACCCUCAAGAGCCUUCAGGAAAAAGAACGGUCGCUCAGCAUGUCCAUUAAAGAAACAACUGCCAAAGUUUGUACAAGUCAGAAACUGUGCAGUACUUUGAGGAGGAAAGUGAAUGAUAUUGAGACCCAACUACCAGCUUUACUUGAAGCCAAAAUGCUUGCUGUAUCAGGAAGUAAUUUCUGUACUGCUAAGGAUCUUGCAGAGGAAAUCAGAUCAUUAACAUCUGAGAGAGAAGGCUUAGAGGGACUUCUCAAUGAGCUGUUGGUGCUGAGUGCCAGAAAUGUCCGAAAAUUAGAGAGAAUUAAAGAAGAUUACAACAGACUGAAACAAGAACUGGAGCAGGGGGAGUCUGCCUUUGAGACAAACGUGAAGGAAAAUGCUAUGAAAUUCAUGGAGAUGCUGGAGAAUAAGCUGCAUAGUGCCACCGAACAGAAAGAGUAGUUACAUAAUCUUUACUUUCACAUAAACUCCAAGAAGUCAGUUAUGGCCUCAGAAUGUCAGUUUGUUAUUCUUUUAUGGAUUCAGCAUUUGUAAAAUGAAGAUAAUAUAUGCCUGUGUGUCAUGAGGCUACUGAGAAGUUUAAAUACCUGAUACUGCAAAACCUUCCAUGUAUGAAAUUCUUAUUGACAUCAAGUGAAGUGCUGUACAUGGAGAGCUUUCAGGAUAAUAUUCAUAAAGCACUUUAAGAUCUCUGAUUGAAAGAAGAUGUAGAAGUACUAAUUAUUAUUAAGAAAUUCUAAACCUAAAUCUUUCAACUCAUUCUUCAGCUACAAAAAAAGGGACAGUAUAAUAUCACUGAAAAAGUGAGAUUGGGGAAAGUUGACAAGAAAAUUAAGAAAAGGCUGAGGGAGAGU
Pelodiscus sinensis (Chinese soft-shelled turtle) is the source of this 2460-nucleotide non-coding RNA. The record is from RefSeq and is a predicted model, not a curated record. Lineage: Eukaryota; Metazoa; Chordata; Testudines; Trionychidae.